GUGCUGAUAAGCUAUCCAUCUACUUCCCAACUCUGUUUCCAUCAUCUUUGCAACUUCUUCAACCUAUUAUAACAAUAAUUUCAUAAAAACUUGUUCAAUGCUUCAAAAAAAUCCCUUAUUUCUAUGAGAUGAUUGAUCUGUAUCCGACACCAAAAUAACUCUAGCACUCUUAUAAGAAGAAAUAAUCCCUAAAAAACAGAAUCAAAUCAAGAACAUGAAUAAAAAAGAAAUUGACAUAGGAAUCAAAUAGUAGAGGUGUCAAAAGGGGAAGUUGAUUGGUUUUUGAACCUUGUUACCAUGUAUUGCAAUAGCUGGGAAACCACUUCUGCACAACCAGUUUUAAGUUUAUGAAAAUUCAAAAGAAAUGAUUUUUAACUAACUUAGAACAAGAUACUAAGAUUGCAUCAGUGAGAAAAUUAUGCUAUUGAAAAAACCAGAAAUAACCAAAGAAGCUUCAAGUUUCCUAUGUAAGUGUAACAAACAAUAAUUGAACUAACUAUAUAGUCAAGUCAAAGGGUAAGAGAAUAUAUAGCCAAAUCAACACUUGUAUAAUCUCUGAAGCUGAAUCUGCUUAAUCACACUGUAAUAUUUUCAUAAAAGGGUCAAUAAAAAAAAGGAAUCAAAUCUCAAUCAAAAUAGCAGAAAUUAACUAAACACAACCCAACUUUAAUUAAAGCAUUUUCAAAAGCAUAACCAAAGAGUUAUGAAACUAAACUACUAGUACUCUUUAGUUAACUAUAGAUCAGAAGCAUAGAAAAACUAAAUAUAGGAAAUUAUAGAACAAAAAAACACAGAAAAAAUUGUUCUUUUUAUAGAAACUAGUAACCACAAAACAGGAAGAUUGAAACUUUACCAAUUAAUGGUGUGGUUUAAAAACUUAUUGACCACUUUUGGAGAAUAAAAUAAAUUUAAAAGGAAACUGAAUAUAUAAGUUUAGUUCUAAUAAUAACAAUGUUGUGGGGACAUCUAAUGGCUUUAGAAAAAACUACCAGCAUUGAACAAUCAAUGUUACAUAAAUCCAUAGGUUGAACAAUCAGUGUUUGAACAAUUUCAUAUCCAUAGGUUGACAUAGCCUGUUGAGACAAUUUAAAGUUACAUAAAUCCAUAGGUCACCUUAUCAACAAAAUACUAUUUAUAACCAAAAAAAUACCUUCUCAAGCUCUUCUUCCACUACUUUUGUAAUUUCAUUUUUCUGUUCAAAAGCAUCAUCGAAGUUGAAUUGAGUUUUGGAACACUUGCAUGCCUCUUUGAUUCGAUAUUUCUGAUGCCAAAUAGCAAAGUCACACCAGAACGUAAUGAAAAGAACUGCAAAAUACAAGGCUAAAACUAACAAAACAAAACGUAGCAGGCAAAGUAUCUAACAAACCAAUAUUCAUCAAAAUCACAUAUCAGUCGCUGGUAGACACAUAAUCAAUCAACAAAGGCUACCAAGAAAAUCAAAUACAACAAACCUACAUAAUCAAUCAACAAUACAAACAAGCUAAGCAGCUAAACCAUCACAGAAAAUAUCCACACAAUCCAUUAUUAUAAAGCUGAGAACGAAUUUAAAGCCAAACAUACAUGAAGUAACAAGAAUCCAAACUCACUUUCAACGGGUUACAAAAUGCAAAAGGGAUUAACAACAGAAAAAUAAAUGGAUAUAGGAAAAGGGAAAACAUUUACUUCCUUCACGCCUUCAACUAUGGAAGCAAUCCUUCAAUUUUUGGGUUGAAUUUGGGAUUUAGGGUUUAACAAAUUUUAGGGAAUGAUGGAGAGAAGAAGGUUUUAGGGUUCAAUUGAUGGUGAACAAUGGAGAGAAAGGAUUGAUUUCAUCUAAGAGAAGGGUUGCUUUUGUUGGAGAGGGAUUGAAUUCGUAGGAGAAAACGGCGAGUUCUUCAAAGAUGACGGCGAGUUCGUCGGAAUACGGAGAGCGCAGUGAGUUGAGAGAAGGCGAGUGGGGAGUGAGGAACGAUGAUGAGGAACAUGAAGACGGGUAGUGAGAAGACGUACAGUGAGUUGAGACUUGAGAGACGGUGGAGACCCUGAAUCGAACUGAGUAAAAAUAGAGUGAAGUGUAUUUGGGCGUAAAAUUCCUUUUAUUUUAUUUUUUU
Molecule: long non-coding RNA, 2090 nt
Filed under: Trifolium pratense (red clover)
Lineage: Eukaryota; Viridiplantae; Streptophyta; Magnoliopsida; Fabales; Fabaceae
Description: long non-coding RNA (TPRA_LNC002296)
Source: RNAcentral